GACGAACGCUGGCGGCGUGCCUAAUACAUGCAAGUUGAGCGCUGAAGGUUGGUACUUGUACCGACUGGAUGAGCAGCGAACGGGUGAGUAACGCGUGGGGAAUCUGCCUUUGAGCGGGGGACAACAUUUGGAAACGAAUGCUAAUACCGCAUAAAAACUUUAAACACAAGUUUUAAGUUUGAAAGAUGCAAUUGCAUCACUCAAAGAUGAUCCCGCGUUGUAUUAGCUAGUUGGUGAGGUAAAGGCUCACCAAGGCGAUGAUACAUAGCCGACCUGAGAGGGUGAUCGGCCACAUUGGGACUGAGACACGGCCCAAACUCCUACGGGAGGCAGCAGUAGGGAAUCUUCGGCAAUGGACGAAAGUCUGACCGAGCAACGCCGCGUGAGUGAAGAAGGUUGUCGGAUCGUAAAACUCUGUUGGCAGAGAAGAACGUUGGUGAGAGUGGAAAGCUCAUCAAGUGACGGUAACUACCCAGAAAGGGACGGCUAACUACGUG
RNAcentral lists this ribosomal RNA (497 nucleotides) under uncultured bacterium. RNAcentral describes it as "partial 16S ribosomal RNA". It matches the Rfam family "Bacterial small subunit ribosomal RNA", at positions 28 to 507 of the family's 1533-position model. The record is from RNAcentral.